This is a long non-coding RNA of Sebastes umbrosus (honeycomb rockfish), 646 nucleotides long. RefSeq lists it as uncharacterized. Lineage: Eukaryota; Metazoa; Chordata; Actinopteri; Perciformes; Sebastidae. The transcript is spliced from 3 exons. The record is from RefSeq and is a predicted model, not a curated record.
ACACACACACACACACGCAGGAGGUUUAGUAAGCUGUAAACAAUACUUACAUAACAGUGCAAUUAUAAUAUUUAUUCCACUCUUAAUGGAAUAAGAUCUUAACAUAACAGAUGGGUUACCAGUCGUCCAUUCCUUUGAAGGAUGAUACCACAAAAUGUAUAAAAGCAGCUAUAGUAUCAUCGAAGCAGAUUUACAUACCACAGCUAGUACAACACUAAAAUGUACACGUACUCAAAAGACAAACAAAGACAUAAUUACAGUAUCCACUGACUUCUCAUAACUGCACAUACAUAAGAAAUAUCACUGGGGAAAAAACUCUUCUACGGUAAUAUAGCAAGCUCUCCCUGUGAAAAAAAUUAUUUAAUAAACCCCACAAUGGUUGCGUCCGAAAUUCCAUACUAACAUGCUGUUUAGUACGCUUAAACAGUAUGAGAGAUUUUUUUAGUAUGUCCAAAACCUUAGUAUGAGACCAAUAGUACGUAAAUUGCAUACAAUUUCCAGUGAAAUACUACAGUAUGCAAUGCUGGACACUAUGGCGGCAUAAAUAUCCCACAAUGCAAUGCAGUAGUAACGACCACAUUCAUAACAGACGGUGACAAACAGCUCUGUAACAUCAAUAACGCUUCACUUUAUGUAUUAAACAUUU